GCUUACUGUUGGUGUAAAGGUGCUUGAAAUUCUAGAAGCUUUUUAUGUGUUUUCAGUUGAUAAUGCUUUAUCCUUGAAUUGCAAAACCAUGCUUCUAAUUGAAAUCUUCAGGGUUUCAAAGUCUCUCAUUGAGUCAAAAUUCUUGAACCACAGAGACUCUAGUAACAUCCUGCAGAGAUUCCUUGAAAUUCCUAUUAAGAACUUCUUUGGACAUAUCUAUCCACUGGAUUGGCGAAUGCCAAUGACAAAAGAUAUGAUUUAUCUUAGAGAUACAGAGCUUUCGAGGAAUUUAUUGAGGGAAGUUGUCUACAGAAUCAUUCGCUCAAGGGCUAUUGCUAAUGGACAACUUGGAAUGCUAAUGACGAUUAUUUUGUCUGGAAAAUUUUCAACUAAUCUCUACAUGCAGAUUGCAACAACCCUUGGCGAUAAUAUAUCUUGGAAAGAGUUCAUUGAGAAUUUCAUCCAAACUAAAAGUAAUGAUAAUUCCAUUGAAGAUCCAAGUGAUUUUGAUUUGGUUGUGAAAUUCCAUAGAGCUUUAGCAGAUACUGAAUAUACAGACUUUUCACCAAGUGUAUUUUUGUACCUUGUGGAUCGUCUCCUUAUCCUGGUUUCCUACUUGAAAGGUUACUUCUUCACAACUAAGUCUUCUUUGGUUGAAUGGCUUAUGUCCAGGGGAUGGAACACUGAAACAAAUUUGGAUUAUUUAUCUGAUGUGCAAGUGCAACCAUUACUUGAAGAAACUGUCGGCUUUGUGGCCCACACAGUUAAUAAACUCAUUUGUAGUGAGCCUCUAAAAUGGAUCAAAAGGUACAAUCUGAAAAUGGAAUUCUACCCUCUUCUAGUGCUGAGAUUGUUUGUUGUGCUUUGUCUACUUUGCAUCAACUUUGAUGGGUAUUAUGGUUUGUUAUUCAAUUUGUUGGAUAAGAGAGAAGUUACCUCUUUGUUGCCAUGGAAGUUUUACAAGUCCCUGUGGAGGUUAAGGGAACAUGAGAAAGCACAUAUAAACAUUAAAGUUGUUUCAGAGGCACUAAAAGGUAUUGGAAACCCUCUUGUAGUUGUCAAUCUGGGAUUACAUUGUGCAGAAUUUUCAUUUCCAGGUGCAAUUUUUCUGCACUUGAAUGUUGAGCAAGGCAGAAAAUGCAUUCUGCAGAGAUUAUUUCUUAAGAAUGAUAUGUUUUCUUCCAACCGAGCUCGCUGUUCCAAGUUGGCAAGGAAAGACUCAUUUGGCGGAGGGAUUUCUUUGAAGAUAAAUCACCAAGAGAUUCCUUCAGCUUCAAGUUUUGUCACUACAUCUGACCCUGUGAAAGCACAACAGACUAAUAGGAACUUUUGGGCUAUGCUUGGAACAGUUGAAUUUAACCCACUGACUGAUGCUUCAUGGUUGAUGGAAAUGAUUUUAGAAUAUGUUCUCCUUGUAAAUGCUACAAUGCGAUGUUGCCGUCGGGGUAAUUGUUGUCACAGUAGUGGAAGUGCUGCUGGGAUGGUAAACAAAGUCCGUGAUGAAUUGCAGCAACUUUAUUCAGCAUUGGAUUCAAGUGAAUGGGAAGUUCAAGACAAUAGAAUAAUUCGAGACCUUUUGAAGAAGUUGCAGUUAAGAAGGAAAAGGAUGGAACCUCUUCUGGAUCAGCUACUGAUCUGUGAUAGUAACAAAAGAACGGAACAUGCAGCACUGAAGACUAGCGUCAAAGAUGGUGAUAGUGGUACUGCUGAAAAAUCUAGCACUGGGACUGAGGCUUCAAAUUCUACAAGUUGCUAGCAAUUACCUAAAGAAUGCAAGGUAGUGUGUGGUUUCAAAUUUUUCAUAGUUGAAAGGUGUAUAUAUAGAAUUGGAUUGAACCCUUUGUUUUGGUGGUUGAUGAGCCAUUCCAGCAAUUAAAAUCCAAUACUAGGGAU
Molecule: unclassified non-coding RNA, 1893 nt
Filed under: Hevea brasiliensis (rubber tree)
Lineage: Eukaryota; Viridiplantae; Streptophyta; Magnoliopsida; Malpighiales; Euphorbiaceae
Source: RNAcentral